CUCCUCUCAGGGCCGCACCUGGAGAGUUUCCAGUACUCUACCAGUCACGACUACACGAGGGAGAGUUAUGCAGAGGCCUGCCUAUUCCAUUUCUAGCUUGGGCAGUGGCUAGUCAGUGGAAGGCAAUCUGCUACAAGU
This 138-nucleotide small nucleolar RNA is filed under the name Ornithorhynchus anatinus (platypus). Lineage: Eukaryota; Metazoa; Chordata; Mammalia; Monotremata; Ornithorhynchidae. The record is from RNAcentral.